RNAcentral lists this ribosomal RNA (253 nucleotides) under uncultured bacterium. Its description in RNAcentral is "partial 16S ribosomal RNA". It matches the Rfam family "Bacterial small subunit ribosomal RNA", at positions 524 to 776 of the family's 1533-position model. The record is from RNAcentral.
UACGAAGGGUGCAAACGUUGCUCGGAAUUAUUGGGCGUAAAGCGCACGUAGGCGGCUCCAAAAGUCGGAUGUGAAAUCCCUCGGCUCAACCAAGGAAGUGCACCCGAAACUGCGGAGCUUGAGUAUGGAAGAGGGUCGCGGAAUUCCCGGUGUAGAGGUGAAAUUCGUAGAUAUCGGGAGGAACACCAGUGGCGAAGGCGGCGACCUGGGCCAAUACUGACGCUGAGGUGCGAAAGCGUGGGGAGCAAACAGG